UCCAUUUUUGAUAUAUUUACAGUAGGAAAUUUACUAAAUAUCUCCAUGGAACAUGAUCUUUACUUAAUAUCCUAACGAUUUUUGGCUUAAAAGAAAAAUCUAUAAAUUUGACCCAUACAAUGUAUUGUUGGCUAUUGCUAUAAAAACUGGUUUUGUGCUCCAGGGUCACAAAUCUUGACGAGGAAACAACAGUAUCAUUGUGUUUCUGUGUGAAAUAUCAAAGUGCUACAGAGGUGAAGGCUCACGGUGUGUUUUUGGAGUGUUAUAAUGAUGCUGCUGUUGAACUGACAGUCAUGAAUACUCUAUUUUCAGAUGCUGAUUUGUGUAGUGGCGUGCAUACAGUAUUUGAUCAGUAACCCGCAGGUUCACUGCGCCCCGAGAGAGAGACAGAGACAGAGAGAGACAGACAGAGAGACAUUUGCAUCUGUCUGCAUACAGAUUAGCGCGGCUGAGAAGGUUGAGUUAUGAGAGCAGGGAAUGCAGUGUGGAGAUAAUUCAUGGCCAAUCACACGCGAGCGCUCGUGGUCAUGUGUCCCAUGAGGAAGAACAACAAUAGGCCAGUGAAAAAGUGAGCAAACCCUAGAGAGACGAGGACAGUAACCAAAGAAAACUCAAAGGAUGAUUUUCCCAUGACCUUUCAUGCUGAUGUGCCGCAGUAGAACGCAACCGUUGGCUUCUGGAAGAAAAAUCCAUUUUCUUUCUCCAUAGAGAGAAGGAUUUUUAAUGAUAAAGUGUAAAGAAUCAUGUCCCAUGAGCCCUGAUGUUGUUAAUCGAUGGCAUAUGCUUCUGUAGAAACCAGAAUGAGAUUCCAACUUAAUGUUUAUGGUUUUAGCCAAAUUUAAAUGAAGAAGUUGUUCGAACAUGGUAAAGGCAAUAGUUUAAAUUCACUCUAAAGAUGAAGGACUGAAAAUGACAGAAUUGUUCAGUCUCUCUUUGCUUCUGAUAUACAACUUAUGUGUUGUAAAUAUGUAAUGUUUUAUGCUUUGUUGUCAUAAUAUACAGUGCACCGUAUAAAUGAGCACAUCCUAAAACUUAACAAAUUCAACAGUUACUCUUGCUCUUUACUGGGAAGACAUGUUCUUUGAAGAAAUAAUGUUGAACAAAAUCUUUUAAAUUCAAGCAAUUUCCUGACAAUUAAAAGAGUUAUAUAGCCUACUAAAUCCUACUCCGAUCUAUUAAAACCAAUGAAACUAAUUGAGAGAGAACUGCCACAAGACUUAUUUCUUAUGUAAGAGAGCACAGUGGUACAAGAGGAAUACCAACUCCUUGUUUUAAGUGUGAAAAUAUAGCUAAAGUAAAACUGACAUUGAAAAACAACGGACUUGAAAUAAUAAUCAGUCCUUCACUUUGAGUCUUGAUUUAGUGAUGAGGGGUUUUUUUACAAGUAGAAGAGCAGGAGAAAUACCAUACAAGUG
RNAcentral lists this long non-coding RNA (1415 nucleotides) under Carassius auratus (goldfish). RNAcentral describes it as "lncRNA (ENSCARG00000060730.1)". The record is from RNAcentral. Lineage: Eukaryota; Metazoa; Chordata; Actinopteri; Cypriniformes; Cyprinidae.